GGAGCGGGCUGCAUUUUGGGUCCCCCCAAGGGUAGAUAAGACAGCUAAGGGUUGGCGGGGAUUUGUCCUGUGCGCAGGAGAGAAGAAUCUCGGUAUUCUUUAGGCAGUUCCAGAUUCUACCAUAUAUGAGAUUAAAAUCCUUGGGACGUUGCUGAACCACUGCUAUCUAUGAAAUCAUGGAGACUAUACUUGUCAGGCACAGUUACCAGCUUUCUAUCACAAGAGAUUACAUUACAUUUCCUGUCAUUUAUGGAAAUAAAUUCAAACACUGAAUAAUAUUCCAUUGUGUACCACAUUUUCAUUAUCAAAUCAUCAAUUGAUGGAUGUCGUGGCUGUUUCCAUUUCCUG
This is a long non-coding RNA of Chionomys nivalis (European snow vole), 348 nucleotides long. RefSeq lists it as uncharacterized. The record is from RefSeq and is a predicted model, not a curated record. The transcript is spliced from 4 exons. NCBI's taxonomy places the organism in Eukaryota, Metazoa, Chordata, Mammalia, Rodentia, Cricetidae.